RNAcentral lists this ribosomal RNA (468 nucleotides) under uncultured bacterium. RNAcentral describes it as "partial 16S ribosomal RNA". It matches the Rfam family "Bacterial small subunit ribosomal RNA", at positions 28 to 507 of the family's 1533-position model. The record is from RNAcentral.
GACGAACGCUGGCGGCGUGCUUAACACAUGCAAGUCGAACGGAAAGGCCCUGCUUUUGUGGGGUGCUCGAGUGGCGAACGGGUGAGUAACACGUGAGUAACCUGCCCUUGACUUUGGGAUAACUUCAGGAAACUGGGGCUAAUACCGGAUAGGAGCUCCUGCUGCAUGGUGGGGGUUGGAAAGUUUCGGCGGUUGGGGAUGGACUCGCGGCUUAUCAGCUUGUUGGUGGGGUAGUGGCUUACCAAGGCUUUGACGGGUAGCCGGCCUGAGAGGGUGACCGGCGACAUUGGGACUGAGAUACGGCCCAGACGCCUACGGGAGGCAGCAGUGGGGAGUAUUGCACAAUGGGCGGAAGCCUGAUGCAGCAACGCCGCGUGCGGGAUGACGGCCUUCGGGUUGUAAACCGCUUUCGCCUGUGACGAAGCGUGAGUGACGGUAAUGGGUAAAGAAGCACCGGCUAACUACGUG